RNAcentral lists this ribosomal RNA (246 nucleotides) under Clostridioides difficile. RNAcentral describes it as "partial 23S ribosomal RNA". It matches the Rfam family "Bacterial large subunit ribosomal RNA", at positions 2322 to 2567 of the family's 2925-position model. Lineage: Bacteria; Bacillati; Bacillota; Clostridia; Peptostreptococcales; Peptostreptococcaceae. The record is from RNAcentral.
UCAGUACGGUCGGAAAUCGUACGUAGAGUGUAAAGGCAAAAGAGAGCUUGAUUGCAAGACAUACAGGUCGAGCAAGGAUGAAAAUCGGACUUAGUGAUCCGGUGGUUCUGCGUGGAAGGGCCAUCGCCCAACGGAUAAAAGCUACCCUGGGGAUAACAGGCUUAUCUCCCCCAAGAGUCCACAUCGACGGGGAGGUUUGGCACCUCGAUGUCGGCUCAUCACAUCCUGGGGCUGUAGUAGGUCCCA